UACGUAGGGGGCAAGCGUUGUCCGGAAUUAUUGGGCGUAAAGCGCGCGCAGGCGGUCUUUUAAGUCUGAUGUGAAAGCCCACGGCUUAACCGUGGAGGGUCAUUGGAAACUGGAGGACUUGAGUGCAGAAGAGGAGAGUGGAAUUCCACGUGUAGCGGUGAAAUGCGUAGAGAUGUGGAGAAACACCAGUGGCGAAGGCGACUCUCUGGUCUGUAACUGACGCUGAGGUGCGAAAGCGUGGGGAGCGAACAGG
Molecule: ribosomal RNA, 253 nt
Filed under: uncultured bacterium
Lineage: Bacteria
Description: partial 16S ribosomal RNA
Rfam family: Bacterial small subunit ribosomal RNA
Source: RNAcentral